GACGAACGCUGGCGGCGUGCUUAACACAUGCAAGUCGAACGGAAAGGCCCCUUUGGGGGUACUCGAGUGGCGAACGGGUGAGUAACACGUGAGUAACCUGCCCUUGACUUCGGGAUAACUUCAGGAAACUGGGGCUAAUACCGGAUAGGAAUCCUUGCUGCAUGGUGGGGGUUGGAAAGCUUCGGCGGUUUUGGAUGGACUCGCGGCUUAUCAGCUUGUUGGUGGGGUAGUGGCUUACCAAGGCUUUGACGGGUAGCCGGCCUGAGAGGGCGACCGGCCACAUAGGGACUGAGAUACGGCCCAGACUCCUACGGGAGGCAGCAGUGGGGAAUAUUGCACAAUGGGCGGAAGCCUGAUGCAGCAACGCCGCGUGCGGGAUGACGGCCUUCGGGUUGUAAACCGCUUUCAGCAGGGGCGAAGCUUGUGGUGACGGUACCUGCAGAAGAAGCACCGGCUAACUACGUG
Molecule: ribosomal RNA, 465 nt
Filed under: uncultured bacterium
Lineage: Bacteria
Description: partial 16S ribosomal RNA
Rfam family: Bacterial small subunit ribosomal RNA
Source: RNAcentral